This 76-nucleotide transfer RNA is filed under the name Candidatus Improbicoccus pseudotrichonymphae. Its description in RNAcentral is "tRNA-Trp". It matches the Rfam family "tRNA". Rfam says of the family: Transfer RNA (tRNA) molecules are approximately 80 nucleotides in length. Their secondary structure includes four short double-helical elements and three loops (D, anti-codon, and T loops). Further hydrogen bonds mediate the characteristic L-shaped molecular structure. tRNAs have two regions of fundamental functional importance: the anti-codon, which is responsible for specific mRNA codon recognition, and the 3' end, to which the tRNAs corresponding amino acid is attached (by aminoacyl-tRNA synthetases). tRNAs cope with the degeneracy of the genetic code in two manners: having more than one tRNA (with a specific anti-codon) for a particular amino acid; and 'wobble' base-pairing, i.e. permitting non-standard base-pairing at the 3rd anti-codon position. The record is from RNAcentral. Lineage: Bacteria; Bacillati; Bacillota; Clostridia.
AGGAGUGUAGCUCAGUCGGCAGAGCAGUAGUCUCCAAAACUAAAGGUCGAGGGUUCAAAUCCUUCCACUCCUGCCA